AAAACCCUUGUUGGGAUUCCCUUCCCUUAUAUUCAUACAUUUCUAUAUAUUCGUUAUAUAUAGAAAAUCUGUUAUCAACUGCAAUAUACAUAAACUGAAUGAUUUUGGUCACAUCUUUCUCCUUUUUUCUUCCGAAAAAGCUUCUUUUUUUUUUUGGGUGCAGACUUCUUUGCUUUGUAAAUUGAAUCAUUUACUUCACAUGUUUCAUUUUCAUCCAUAACGGUCACAUCAUCAAAUAUCAACAGAUGUCAUCCAUAGACGAUUUAUGUGUUUUCUCUUUAUUUUCUAUUGUAUUUUUUGUUCAGUUUCAAGAAAUUAAUGCAAGUAUGUUAUCUCAAUGCAUCAAAAUCAAGGGACGAUGCUGCUAAUCAAAU
This 374-nucleotide long non-coding RNA is filed under the name Vigna radiata. Its description in RNAcentral is "long non-coding RNA (VRAD_LNC013436)". Lineage: Eukaryota; Viridiplantae; Streptophyta; Magnoliopsida; Fabales; Fabaceae. The record is from RNAcentral.